CCUUAGAGUUUGAUCAUGGCUCAGAACGAACGCUGGCGGCAGGCCUAACACAUGCAAGUCGAGCGCGCCUUCGGGUGAGCGGCGGACGGGUUAGUAACGCGUGGGAACGUGCCCUUCAGUUGAGGAUAGCCCCGGGAAACUGGGAGUAAUACUCGAUACGCCCUUUGGGGGAAUGAAGGAUCGGCCCGCGUUGGAUUAGGUAGUUGGUGGGGUAACGGCCUACCAAGCCGACGAUCCAUAGCUGGUUUGAGAGGAUGAUCAGCAACACUGGGACUGAGACACGGCCCAGACUCCUACGGGAGGCAGCAGUGGGGAAUCUUGGACAAUGGGGGAAACCCUGAUCCAGCCAUGCCGCGUGAGUGAUGAAGGCCUUAGGGUCGUAAAGCUCUUUCGCCAGGGAUGAUAAUGACAGUACCUGGUAAAGAAACCCCGGCUAACUCCGUGCCAGCAGCCGCGGUAAUACGGAGGGGGUUAGCGUUGUUCGGAAUUACUGGGCGUAAAGCGCGCGUAGGCGGACUGUUAAGUCGGGGGUGAAAUCCCGGGGCUCAACCCCGGAACUGCCUCCGAUACUGGCAGUCUAGAGUUCGAGAGAGGUGAGUGGAAUUCCGAGUGUAGAGGUGAAAUUCGUAGAUAUUCGGAGGAACACCAGUGGCGAAGGCGG
This 661-nucleotide ribosomal RNA is filed under the name uncultured Alphaproteobacteria bacterium. Its description in RNAcentral is "bacterial SSU rRNA". It matches the Rfam family "Bacterial small subunit ribosomal RNA", at positions 1 to 724 of the family's 1533-position model. Lineage: Bacteria; Pseudomonadati; Pseudomonadota; Alphaproteobacteria. The record is from RNAcentral.